UACGGGGGGGGCAAGCGUUGUUCGGAAUUACUGGGCGUAAAGGGCGCGUAGGCGGCCAACUAAGUCAUACGUGAAAUCCCUCAGCUUAACUGGGGAACUGCGUGUGAUACUGGAUGGCUUGGAUUUGGGAGAGGGAUGCGGAAUUCCAGGUGUAGCGGUGAAAUGCGUAGAUAUCUGGAGGAACACCGGUGGCGAAGGCGGCAUCCUGGACCAAUAUUGACGCUGAGGAGCGAAAGCCAGGGGAGCAAACGGG
RNAcentral lists this ribosomal RNA (253 nucleotides) under uncultured bacterium. RNAcentral's name for it is "partial 16S ribosomal RNA". It matches the Rfam family "Bacterial small subunit ribosomal RNA", at positions 524 to 776 of the family's 1533-position model. The record is from RNAcentral.